CGCCUACACGCCCCUAUCAAACUCCGAAUACUCAUGAAUGUAUCCCGGGAGUGAGUCCGCGAGGGAUAAUCUUCGCGGUCGAAACGGAAACAACCGAGACCACCUGCUAAGGUCCCCAAAUUCAGCUCAGUUCGGUAGGAAGUCAUUCUGCUGAGACAGCCAGGAUGUUGGCUUAGAAGCAGCCACCAUUUAAAAAGUGCGUAAUAGCUUACUGGUCGAGCAGAGUGGCGCCGUAAAUGAUCGGGAAUAAGCUGAAUACCGAAGCAGUGGAUGAAUGGCUUUGCGGCCAUUCGUGGUAGGAGAGCGCCGCAUGCCGCGUCGAAGCCAUACCGUGAGGAGUGGUGGAGCGCAUGCGGGUGAGAAUGCCGGCAUAAGUAACGAUAACGCAGGUGAAAAUCCUGCGCGCCGAAAGCCUAAGGUUUCCUGGGGAAGGUAAAUCCGCCCAGGGUUAGCCGGUGCCUUAGUCGAGGCCGAAAGGCGUAGACGAUGGGAAUCACGUUAAUAUUCGUGAGCCUGGAGGUAGUGACGGAUCGCACAAGUUGUUCGACCUUAUUGGAUUGGUCGGGCCUCGAAGGGGUUCCAGGAAAUAGCCCCCACAUUAGACCGUACCCGAAACCGACACAGGUGGACUGGUA
This 635-nucleotide ribosomal RNA is filed under the name Pycnococcus provasolii. Its description in RNAcentral is "partial Bacterial large subunit ribosomal RNA". It matches the Rfam family "Bacterial large subunit ribosomal RNA", at positions 933 to 1673 of the family's 2925-position model. Lineage: Eukaryota; Viridiplantae; Chlorophyta; Pseudoscourfieldiophyceae; Pseudoscourfieldiales; Pycnococcaceae. The record is from RNAcentral.